CUCACUUUACAUGCUCUCGCGGUAGGAUCUGACAUAUAAAAGACAAUUGUACAGUUCUCGACUCCUAGGGCCUUGAAAGGACCUCUAGUUAAAUAACAUUCAUAGAUUCAUGUCCAUGAAAGACCUCCGAUUAAACUGCCUCAAAACGGUCAUCAUCAUUAUCUAACCCAUGACUUCUGUCUUCAAGGCAUAAAAGAUGCAAACGAUCAAUGGAAAAUAAUAAUGUCGUCAUGCUGGAAAUUGACGGAUUUCAAGCAUCGAUCAAACGCAAGAUGCAGAUCAAGUCGUAAAAACAAAAUAGUUCGGCCUCGUCGGUCGCGAACAUAAUGUAUCCCGCCUCGUCGGUCAGGAAGUGUAUAUGAGUUCCGGCCUCGUCAGUCGCGGAAACAAGUGUGCUGAGCAUGGACUUGAAGAUGAACCCAUCGUUUGACUUGAUAAACAUGAUUUUGCAAAAUUCCAAACAUGGCGUCUUAUUUAUUCAGGUGUAGAUGGCCAUGUCUUUAUUAUUCGCAGGAUAAAAGUCCUCAUCCUUUGCAUGCUGCAUGAUCUACUUGAAAUUAUUAAUGACUCCUGAUGCUUUGCAUGGGAUGACUCGCGAUGUUGAUUUUGAGUAUGUAUGUAGCCGUGUCAUUGCUCUCUAAAGCCGGAUUUUGUCUACCACCUCGAAUGAAAUAUUGCAAAAAGCACUGCUGAAAACUUUGAUGAAUCCGCAGCGACGAUUAGAUCGUCGUGUAGAGCCGCAAAAAAGUCAUCUUAAAUCUUUUUUUUAUUUGUCGGAUUUAACAAUAAAAACAUCCGCGGUGACGAUUUGAUCGCCAUGUAGAACCACAAGAUGCCAACUCUUCUCUUUCUUUGUUUUGUUCGGACCACGGAACACCGGCGGCGACGAUUAGAUCACUAUGUAGAGCCACCAGGUGUUGGUAAACACUUUUUGUAGAUCGGCCCGUAAAACGUCCGCGGCGAUGAUUAGAUCGCCAUGUAGAGCCGCGAGACGACCCUCUUUUAGUUUGUAGCUCAAGCCAUGAAGCGCUGGCGGCGACGAUUAGAUCGCCAUGUAGAGCCG
Molecule: long non-coding RNA, 1063 nt
Filed under: Hordeum vulgare
Lineage: Eukaryota; Viridiplantae; Streptophyta; Magnoliopsida; Poales; Poaceae
Description: long non-coding RNA (HVUL_LNC001624)
Source: RNAcentral